RNAcentral lists this ribosomal RNA (235 nucleotides) under uncultured bacterium. RNAcentral describes it as "partial 16S ribosomal RNA". It matches the Rfam family "Bacterial small subunit ribosomal RNA", at positions 524 to 758 of the family's 1533-position model. The record is from RNAcentral.
UACAGAGGUCCCAAGCGUUGUUCGGAUUCACUGGGCGUAAAGGGUGCGUAGGCGGUCGGGUAAGUCUGACGUGAAAUCUCCAAGCUCAACUUGGAAAUGGCGUCGGAUACUAUUCGGCUUGAGGAGUGGAGGGGAGACUGGAAUUCUCGGUGUAGCAGUGAAAUGCGUAGAUAUCGAGUGGAACACCAGUGGCGAAGGCGAGUCUCUGGACACUUCCUGACGCUGAGGCACGAAA